AACCUGCGGAAGGAUCAUGG
RNAcentral lists this ribosomal RNA (20 nucleotides) under Eucalyptus deglupta. RNAcentral describes it as "partial 18S ribosomal RNA". Lineage: Eukaryota; Viridiplantae; Streptophyta; Magnoliopsida; Myrtales; Myrtaceae. The record is from RNAcentral.